Molecule: ribosomal RNA, 477 nt
Filed under: uncultured bacterium
Lineage: Bacteria
Description: partial 16S ribosomal RNA
Rfam family: Bacterial small subunit ribosomal RNA
Source: RNAcentral
GACGAACGCUGGCGGCGUGCUUAACACAUGCAAGUCGAACGGUAAGGCCCUUCGGGGUACACGAGUGGCGAACGGGUGAGUAACACGUGGGUGAUCUGCCCUGCACUUCGGGAUAAGCCUGGGAAACUGGGUCUAAUACCGGAUAGGACCCUGGGAUGCAUGUCCUGGGGUGGAAAGCUUUUGCGGUGUGGGAUGGGCCCGCGGCCUAUCAGCUUGUUGGUGGGGGGAUGGCCUACCAAGGCGACGACGGGUAGCCGGCCUGAGAGGGUGACCGGCCACACUGGGACUGAGAUACGGCCCAGACUCCUACGGGAGGCAGCAGUGGGGAAUAUUGCACAAUGGGCGCAAGCCUGAUGCAGCGACGCCGCGUGAGGGAUGACGGCCUUCGGGUUGUAAACCUCUUUCAGCACCGACGAAGCGCAAGUGACGGUAGGUGCAGAAGAAGGACCGGCCAACUACGUGCCAGCAGCCGCGUAA